GCCAGGUUAGCCAAGUGGUAAGGCGGCCGUCUCGAAAACGGCUGCGCGUGAGCGCACAGGGGUUCGAAUCCCUUACCUGGCG
Molecule: transfer RNA, 82 nt
Filed under: Nitrososphaerota archaeon
Lineage: Archaea; Thermoproteati; Nitrososphaerota
Also listed under: 1 other name
Description: tRNA-Ser
Rfam family: tRNA
About the family: Transfer RNA (tRNA) molecules are approximately 80 nucleotides in length. Their secondary structure includes four short double-helical elements and three loops (D, anti-codon, and T loops).
Source: RNAcentral